ACUCUAGCCAAAAUUUCUAACCUUGUUAUAAAUAAAAUCAAAUUUAAAAUUAAUAGCAGUUGUAAUUAUAUUAGCUUAAAACUUGAUACUACCAACUUUAACACAUUAUAAUAAAAUAGGAUUAGACCCCUAGUAUAAAUGAGCUAAAUUAUCAUAAGAACUAAAUAAAACUUUAUUAAAUUUAACCCAUAUGGCGGCAUUUUACCCCUGGUGGGGGAGUUUGGCCUUAAAUUUGAUAGUCCCCACUACACCCCACCCAAAUUUUUCCCGUGUGUGGUUGUUUAAGGUAGUUUGUUAAAACACUAUUUAAUUCAAAUGAUACGCUGAAAUAUUUAGGGAGUGCUGAACUACUCUUCUAAAAUUAAUUGAACUAUAAAAUCAUAAAAGGACUCACUAGUAAAUAAAGAAACACUUUUGAAAAGGUCUUAAAAUGUGCACAAAUCGUCCGUCGUUCUCAGGCAU
This 462-nucleotide ribosomal RNA is filed under the name Candacia tenuimana. Its description in RNAcentral is "partial 12S ribosomal RNA". Lineage: Eukaryota; Metazoa; Arthropoda; Copepoda; Calanoida; Candaciidae. The record is from RNAcentral.